UCCUGGUUAGCUGAGUUGGUAGAGCGCUCCACCGGAAAGGGAGCGGUCCCUGGUUCAAUGCCAGGACCAGGCG
This 73-nucleotide transfer RNA is filed under the name Ixodes scapularis (black-legged tick). RNAcentral describes it as "tRNA-Ser for anticodon GGA". It matches the Rfam family "tRNA". Rfam says of the family: Transfer RNA (tRNA) molecules are approximately 80 nucleotides in length. Their secondary structure includes four short double-helical elements and three loops (D, anti-codon, and T loops). Further hydrogen bonds mediate the characteristic L-shaped molecular structure. tRNAs have two regions of fundamental functional importance: the anti-codon, which is responsible for specific mRNA codon recognition, and the 3' end, to which the tRNAs corresponding amino acid is attached (by aminoacyl-tRNA synthetases). tRNAs cope with the degeneracy of the genetic code in two manners: having more than one tRNA (with a specific anti-codon) for a particular amino acid; and 'wobble' base-pairing, i.e. permitting non-standard base-pairing at the 3rd anti-codon position. The record is from RNAcentral. Lineage: Eukaryota; Metazoa; Arthropoda; Arachnida; Ixodida; Ixodidae.